CUCUCUCUCUCGCUCGGUCGCUCGCUUUUUCUUGUUCUUCUUCAAACCAUCGAUUACUCGUCCUCUUCAACUCGCUUUUCGCUUCGCCGUUGCUCCCGUUGGUGGCGUUCCGAUGCGGUCUACGAUGCCGUCAUCUUACAUCGAUCAGAACUCCUCGCCGAUAUUAUUGCUUCGAGGGGUUGGGAAAUCAGAAGGGGUUUGAUGGCCAAACUCAUGCCAGAUGGGGGAGACAACCACCUGGAUUCGCACUCCUCAACUCGCCGUCUAAUGCUGGUCCAGACUCCGUAUUGGCUAAAUGGGUACGUGGAUCAUGCCAUUCCUCGUUCUUGGUAGUUUAUAGUGCCAUUCAUAAAUGAUCAAAGCAAACUCUUUUCCCCUUCCAUAAGAUUGCCUCUCACGAAGCCAUGGUCCUCUUUCACAAGUAACACACCCAUGGAUUUACUUGGGUUACGAACACAAGUUAUGUUGCAAGGAACAGGAAACUAGAAAGGGCGGGAACCACUGUUGAGCAAGACGAGACUCCAAAACAAGCUUGGACAGACUAGGUUAUACAUAUGCAUGUCACCUAAACAAAUGUGAAUCUAAUCUAUCCGACGUCAAUUCAAAUUUGCUAUACAACACCAGAAUAGUAGAGUAGAUGGUACACAAAAAAUAAAUUCCCCUCGCAGUACCUGAACCACUUAUUCGAUAUCCAAACCACUGGGACU
Long non-coding RNA from Musa acuminata subsp. malaccensis (wild Malaysian banana), 707 nucleotides. RefSeq lists it as uncharacterized. The record is from RefSeq and is a predicted model, not a curated record. NCBI's taxonomy places the organism in Eukaryota, Viridiplantae, Streptophyta, Magnoliopsida, Zingiberales, Musaceae.